AUACAGGGGGUGCAAGCGUUGCUCGGAAUUACUGGGCGUAAAGCGUGCGCAGGCGGUCCAGCAAGUCGAGGGUGAAAACCCGGGGCUCAACCCCGGAAUUGCCUCCGAAACUGCUGGACUUGAGUACGAGAGAGGGUCGCGGAAUUCUUGGUGUAGAGGUGAAAUUCGUAGAUAUCAGGAAGAACACCAGUGGCGAAAGCGGCGACCUGGCUCGAUACUGACGCUCAUGCACGAAAGCGUGGGGAGCAAACAGGAUUAGAUACCCUGGUAGUCCACGCCGUAAACGAUGAGUGCUAGCUGCUGGACAUGUCUACCAUUUCAGUGGCGUCGCUAACGCAUUAAGCACUCCGCCUGGGAAGUACGGUCGCAAGACUAAA
Molecule: ribosomal RNA, 377 nt
Filed under: uncultured Pseudobdellovibrionaceae bacterium
Lineage: Bacteria; Pseudomonadati; Bdellovibrionota; Bdellovibrionia; Bdellovibrionales; Pseudobdellovibrionaceae
Description: bacterial SSU rRNA
Rfam family: Bacterial small subunit ribosomal RNA
Source: RNAcentral